This 200-nucleotide long non-coding RNA is filed under the name Gossypium raimondii (Peruvian cotton). RNAcentral describes it as "long non-coding RNA (GRAI_LNC002823)". Lineage: Eukaryota; Viridiplantae; Streptophyta; Magnoliopsida; Malvales; Malvaceae. The record is from RNAcentral.
UUUAUAAACUAAAGGAACCUACCAGAAGCAAAUAAAAGAAAUAUGAAAAUGUAAAAAUUAAACUAAAAACAAAAAUAAAAUGAUAUAAAAAUAAAUGGCUAAAUUAAUAAAAAUCGAGUGUUCCUAAUAGUUUAGUCCCCGGCAACGGUGCCAAAAACUUAAUGGUCACUAAACUAACUAUAAAUAAGACUAAGGCAAGC